RNAcentral lists this unclassified non-coding RNA (861 nucleotides) under Hevea brasiliensis (rubber tree). Lineage: Eukaryota; Viridiplantae; Streptophyta; Magnoliopsida; Malpighiales; Euphorbiaceae. The record is from RNAcentral.
UAUGAAAAUUAAGUUAAAAUUUAAGAGCAUUCUCACCAGAGGAAAUGGGAAAAAAUAAGGGGUAAAAAAACUUUGGUUAGUCCUGUGCAUGUGACAUAUUUUGUGGUGUCAAUUGUGAAUAUAUUUGUGUGGUGUCUGGCUGUACACCUUGUUUUUUAGGACAUUGAUUUGGAAAACGAGUAGCACAAGCUUUCCACAUUAGGUUUUGAAGUUUUGUAUGAGCAAGUCAUCUGGUUUUUAAUUUACUGGACAUUCAAAAAUAUGAAAUACUUGAAUGUGUUUUUACAGAUUACUCUUAUGAGCAAUCUAAGCCAACAGUGGUUUCCCUCUGAUGGCACAAAAAUAAUUGUGAAAUAAUAUUCUAAUCUUAUUGAGUAUCCCAGUUGCUUGUUUCAUGAACAGGCUUUCAGUUUAACUAUUUCUGUCUUCUCACCAUUCUGCUCUAGCUAGGUUCACCACAAGUAUUGAUUAGAAAGCUGUGAUAUAAAAUUUUUUCCGACCUUUUCAACCGAUGUUCUUCCCCUUGUGUCAUUUUGGAUAUGAAGAAUCAUUCUUCUGGCUUCUUUCUGUUCUGUACGCAUCAAAAUGAACAGAAUUCUUGUCAGUGAUGCCACAUAACUUUUUCUUAGAUUGAUUUUGUUUUGUAAUCUAGCUCCACUAAGUUUCUACCAUUUCCAAAGAUUGUUAGUUAUUGAUGAUUAAGUUGUGUGAUCUAGAAGGAUUCAUUUAACUGCUAAUGAAUUGCAAAUACUCAGGUUACGAGUUCAAUUAGGAGUAAACAUGCCCGCUCAAGCCAGUCGCAAACUUGAGGAGGUUGAUUCAAUGGAGGUUGAACUUUUUGAGGUAUAUGAUGUUGUCCUU